RNAcentral lists this ribosomal RNA (2883 nucleotides) under human gut metagenome. RNAcentral's name for it is "bacterial LSU rRNA". It matches the Rfam family "Bacterial large subunit ribosomal RNA". The record is from RNAcentral.
AGAGCGCAGGGUGGAUGCCUUGGCACUGAGAGCCGAUGAAAGACGUGAUAAGCUGCGAAAAGCUGCGGUAAGGAGCAAAUAUCCUGUGACCCGCAGAUAUCUGAAUGGGGAAACCUGGCUGAGCAAACCUCAGUCGUCCUAUACUGAAUACAUAGGUAUAGGUCGGGAACCUCCUGAACUGAAACAUCUAAGUAGGGAGAGGAAGAGAAAGAAACAUCGAUUCUGUUAGUAGCGGCGAGCGAAAGCGGAAGAGCCCAAACCAGAGUGCGUGCACUCUGGGGUAUGGACUGCAACAUGGCAGUGUGAUCGAUAGCAGAAGGGUCUGGGAAGUCCCGCCAAAGAGAGUGAAAGCCUCGUAUGCGAAAUUGAAAACACGCCUAGCAGUAUCCGGAGUACCACGAGACACGAGAAACCUUGUGGGAAGGCGGAGGGACCACCCUCCAAGGCUAAAUACUACUCAGUGACCGAUAGCGCAUAGUACUGUGAAGGAAAGGUGAAAAGGACCCCGGGAGGGGAGUGAAAGAGAACCUGAAACCCUGUGUUUACAAGCUGUCGAAGCACGCAAGUGCGACGGCGUACUUUUUGUAGAACGGUCCGGCGAGUUAUGAUGAGUGGUAAGGUUAAGGACUUAAGGUCCGGAGCCGAAGCGAAAGCGAGUGUUAAAAGCACGGUUGAAUCGCUUAUCAUAGACCCGAAACCGGGUGAUCUAUCCAUGUCCAGGUUGAAGCUGCCGUAAGAGGUAGUGGAGGACCGAACCCACAUCCGUUGAAAAGGGUGGGGAUGAGGUGUGGAUAGCGGAGAAAUUCCAAUCGAACCCGGAGAUAGCUGGUUCUCCCCGAAAUAGCUUUAGGGCUAGCGUCGAGGUAAGUUGCGUGAAGGUAGAGCACUGAAUAUGUGAUGGCCCCAUCUCGGGGUACUGAGCAUAAUCAAACUGCGAAUGUCACGCCAACAUGCUCGGCAGUCAGACAGCGGGUGAUAAGGUCCGUUGUCAAGAGGGAAACAGCCCAGACCAUCAGCUAAGGUCCCAAAAUGUAUGCUAAGUGGAAAAGGAUGUGGAGAUGUACAGACAACUAGGAGGUUGGCUCAGAAGCAGCCAUCCUUUAAAGAGUGCGUAACAGCUCACUAGUCGAAUGACUCUGCGCCGAUAAUUUACCGGGGCUAAGCAUACUACCGAAGCUAUGGAUCCCAAGGGAUGGUAGGGGAGCGUUCCAUGAACGGAGAAGUACGACCGAAAGGACGUGUGGAGAUCAUGGAAGAGAGAAUGCCGGUGUGAGUAGCGGAACGUGGGUGAGAAUCCCACGCACCGAAAACCCAAGGUUUCCAGAGGAAGGUUCGUCCGCUCUGGGUAAGUCGGGACCUAAGGCGAGGCCGAAAGGCGUAGUCGAUGGACAACAGGUAGAGAUUCCUGUACCCGUAUAUAUGUGAAGGAAUGACGGAGAGAGGAAGCUGCAGCCAGCGGCUGGAAGAGCUGGUGCAAGCGAGAUAUCGGGAUGGCAGGCAAAUCCACCAUCCGAAACGAGAAGGCGUGAAGCGUACGGAAAGCUACGGCGAGUACGGAAGGCAGUGGAGGAACUUCCAAGAAAAGUUUCUAACGUUAAGUAUAUAUGGCCCGUACCGAAAAUGGACACACAUGGGUGAGGAGAGAAUCCUAAGGUGAGCGAGAGAACUAUAGCUAAGGAACUCUGCAAAAUGACUCCGUAACUUAGGGAGAAGGAGUGCUCAUAGAGAUAUGAGCCGCAGUGAAACGGCCCAAGCGACUGUUUACCAAAAACACAGCUCUCUGCUAAGCCGCAAGGCGAAGUAUAGGGGGUGACGCCUGCCCGGUGCUGGAAGGUUAAGGGGAGGGGUUAACGCAAGUGAAGCCCUGAACUGAAGCCCCAGUAAACGGCGGCCGUAACUAUAACGGUCCUAAGGUAGCGAAAUUCCUUGUCAGGUAAGUUCUGACCCGCACGAAAGGCGUAAUGAUUUGGGCACUGUCUCGACAAUGUACCCGGCGAAAUUGUAGUACUAGUGAAGAUGCUAGUUACCUGCGACAAGACAGAAAGACCCCAUGGAGCUUUACUGUAGUUUGAUAUUGGGUUUUGGUAAUUUAUGUACAGGAUAGGUGGGAGACAGAGAAGGAUGUGCGUCAGCAUAUCUGGAGUCAACGUUGGGAUACCACUCUUAAGUUAUUGAAAUUCUAACUUGUGAUCAUAAACUGGUCAGAGGACAAUGUCAGACGGGCAGUUUGACUGGGGCGGUCGCCUCCAAAAGAGUAACGGAGGCGCCCAAAGGUUCCCUCAGUGCGGACAGAAAUCGCACAAAAGAGUGUAAAGGCAGAAGGGAGCUUAACUGGAAGAUAGACAUAUCGAGCAGAUACGAAAGUAGGGCUUAGUGAUCCGGUGGAAUUGAAUGGAAAAGCCAUCGCUCAACGGACAAAAGUUACCCUGGGGAUAACAGGCUUAUCUCCCCCAAGAGUUCACAUCGACGGGGAGGUUUGGCACCUCGAUGUCGGCUCAUCGCAUCCUGGAGCGGAAGUACGUUCCAAGGGUUGGGCUGUUCGCCCAUUAAAGCGGUACGCGAGCUGGGUUCAGAACGUCGUGAGACAGUUCGGUCCUUAUCUGUCGCAGGCGGAAGAUAUUUGAAGGGAGCUGUCCUUAGUACGAGAGGACCAGGAUGGACAUACCGAUGGUUUAUCAGUUGUCACACCAGUGGCAUGGCUGAGUAGCCAAGUAUGGAAGGGAUAAACGCUGAAAGCAUCUAAGUGUGAAGCCCACCCUAAGAUAAGAUAUCUCAUACCGUAAGGUAGUAAGAUUCCAUAAAGACUAUGUGGUUGAUAGGUUGGAGGUGUAAGUACAGUAAUGUAUUGAGCUGACCAAUACUAAUAAAUCGAGGGCUUAACCA